ACGCACGCUGGCGGCAUGCCUCACCCAUGCCAGUCGAACGAGACCUUCGGGUCUAGUGGCGCACGGGUGCGUAACGCGUGGGAAUCUGCCCUUGGGUUCGGGAUAACAGUUGGAAACGACUGCUAAUACCGGAUGAUGACUUCGGUCCAAAGAUUUAUCGCCCAGGGAUGAGCCCGCGUCGGAUUAGCUAGUUGGUGAGGUAAGAGCUCACCAAGGCGACGAUCCGUAGCUGGUCUGAGAGGAUGAUCAGCCACACUGGGACUGAGACACGGCCCAGACUCCUACGGGAGGCAGCAGUGGGGAAUAUUGGACAAUGGGCGAAAGCCUGAUCCAGCAAUGCCGCGUGAGUGAUGAAGGCCUUAGGGUUGUAAAGCUCUUUUACCCGGGAUGAUAAUGACAGUACCGGGAGAAUAAGCCCCGGCUAACUCCGUG
This 432-nucleotide ribosomal RNA is filed under the name uncultured bacterium. RNAcentral's name for it is "partial 16S ribosomal RNA". It matches the Rfam family "Bacterial small subunit ribosomal RNA", at positions 29 to 507 of the family's 1533-position model. The record is from RNAcentral.